Long non-coding RNA from Carassius auratus (goldfish), 690 nucleotides. RefSeq lists it as uncharacterized. The transcript has 3 exons. NCBI's taxonomy places the organism in Eukaryota, Metazoa, Chordata, Actinopteri, Cypriniformes, Cyprinidae. The record is from RefSeq and is a predicted model, not a curated record.
UUUUUAGUCUGCUUGUCCGCCGGGAGGGAAGUUAACACAGGGAGUGGACCACAGCUUGGAGGAUACUCAGCGUUGUCAAAUGUGGAUGUAUCAUGUGAUCUGCAAAAGAAUAUCCUGUUUUCCACUGCAACCCAAGAUAGAACUCUCCAAACAUCUGUGAAGCUUCAAUAUAAAGCCCCUUCAUCAUAAACAUGCUACUCCAACUCAGAUAUGAAAACAUCCCCUUCUGACUCUCCACAAACUUCACAAGCUAUGCUAAUGAGUAUCUUUUCUGGAGCGCAACAGGGAAGAUGUGCCAACCAUGAGGGAGAAGACAGGCAAUCCAAGGAGAGGUGAAAAGGUCUUACGGUGAAACACUCCUCCAGGAAAUGACCAUGUUUUUUCUUCGAUAACAUAUGUUUUCUAGCUGAUAAACAACAUGCUGCUUAUUUAGUUUGUAACAUUUUGGUGGGGUGAAUUUUUAACCCUAUCUUAAGUUUAAGUUGUAACUAUGACUAAAAUGACUCAUAAAGUGAAACUGAUUAGUACAGUGUGUCUUUCCUGUGUCUAAAUAUAUUGAAAAACUAUUUGAGGCAUUAGUCAUUGGUGUCUUAUAACAUUAAGAGACAUAGAUAUGGGUCACUUUUUUCAAGAACAGCUAGUUGUUUUUAACUAAUGUGUUUCUUCUCACAGGCUCAUAGAUACAGCAUA